This 253-nucleotide ribosomal RNA is filed under the name uncultured bacterium. RNAcentral describes it as "partial 16S ribosomal RNA". It matches the Rfam family "Bacterial small subunit ribosomal RNA", at positions 524 to 776 of the family's 1533-position model. The record is from RNAcentral.
UACGUAGGUGGCAAGCGUUACUCGGAAUCACUAGGCGUAAAGCGCAGGUAGGAGGUUUGAUAAGUCUGUUGUGAAAGCUCCCGGCUUAACUGGGAGAGGUCAACGGAAACUGUCAGGCUGGAGUGCGGUAGAGGUAGCUGGAAUUCCCGGUGUAGCGGUGAAAUGCGUAGAUAUCGGGAGGAAUACCUAUGGCGAAAGCAGGCUACUGGACCGUCACUGACUCUGAUCUGCGAAAGCUAGGGGAGCAAACAGG